This 337-nucleotide long non-coding RNA is filed under the name Homo sapiens (human). RNAcentral's name for it is "HSALNT0218328". Lineage: Eukaryota; Metazoa; Chordata; Mammalia; Primates; Hominidae. The record is from RNAcentral.
AGUUUUCAGAUGGGAGAUGCCUGGAGUCCAGAUAAGGAUUCACUCCCCAGAUACACUUGAAUUAGUGUUGAUUAUUAAGCUUUACAGUAUAUUCUGUAUUUUCAUUUAGAUUUAAACCAGGAUUUGUUUAAAAAAUGUCCUGGACCUGGCCAGGACAGUUGUGACACUGGAUUUACACCAAAGGUACAAAGAGUUAAUGCAAAGCAUUUUCUAGGGUAAGAAAGAGUUGUCAUGGGAGUCCUGGAAUACACUGAAUCACCAGAAUUACUUGCUUCCAGAAUUAUUCUAUUGCAUUUAUCCACAAAACCUGCAAUGUGGAGCCUGGAUUUGAAUUGGA